AUGGUAGUAGCGAAUGUGGAUGUAUACAAAAUAAAAAAGGGUAGAUUACGCCACCAAAAAGAGCUAAAAUUGUCACAUCUGAUCAUGUCCGAUCCGAGAUGCAAAACUGCAGCGGACGGUACGUUGCCAUUUGGUUUGAGGCCACACUAUUUACAAACAAAACAGAAAAGGAAAAAGAAAAAGAAAAACCAAAACAAGCGGACAGAGCAAAACCCACAUACGAGCACAAGUGCACAACAAACACCAGUGAGAGGUGAGAGAUCAAGCUACUGCUACUGCUCUAACGGGCUACAUAGUACAGUUGGUGUUCAUCCUAGAUCAAGCCACUCCGAUCCAUGGAUCCAUCCUUUGGAGAGAAACACAAAAACAAGAAGCCUCUCCAUGGAUCACAGCAUGCACACGGGCGGAUCUGAGCAAGAAAGCUAG
This 426-nucleotide ribosomal RNA is filed under the name Triticum aestivum (bread wheat). RNAcentral's name for it is "partial small subunit ribosomal RNA". Lineage: Eukaryota; Viridiplantae; Streptophyta; Magnoliopsida; Poales; Poaceae. The record is from RNAcentral.